AUUGAACGCUGGCGGCAUGCUUUACACAUGCAAGUCGAACGGUAACAGGCCUUCGGGUGCUGAUGAGUGGCGAACGGGUGCGUAAUGCAACGGAACGUGCCCAGAGGUGGGGGAUAACGCAGCGAAAGCUGUGCUAAUACCGCAUGUGAUCUGAGGAUGAAAGCGGGGUGCCAGGCAGCAAUGUUUGGCCUCGCGCCUUUGGAGCGGCCGAUGUCGGAUUAGGUAGUUGGUAGGGUAAAGGCAUACCAAGCCGACGAUAUGUAGCUGGUCUGAGAGGACGAUCAGCCACACUGGGACUGAGACACGGCCCAGACUCCUACGGGAGGCAGCAGUGGGGAAUUUUGGACAAUGGGCGCAAGCCUGUUCCAGCAAUGCCGCGUGAGGGAAGAAGGCCUUCGGGUUGUAAACCGCUUUUGUACGGAACGAAAAGGCUCUGGCUAAUACCUGGGGCUGAUGACGGUACCGUAAGAAUAAGCACCGGCUAACUACGUG
This 492-nucleotide ribosomal RNA is filed under the name uncultured bacterium. RNAcentral describes it as "partial 16S ribosomal RNA". It matches the Rfam family "Bacterial small subunit ribosomal RNA", at positions 30 to 507 of the family's 1533-position model. The record is from RNAcentral.